This 440-nucleotide ribosomal RNA is filed under the name uncultured bacterium. RNAcentral's name for it is "partial 16S ribosomal RNA". It matches the Rfam family "Bacterial small subunit ribosomal RNA", at positions 338 to 795 of the family's 1533-position model. The record is from RNAcentral.
CCUACGGGAGGCAGCAGUGGGGAAUAUUGCACAAUGGGGGAAACCCUGAUGCAGCAACGCCGCGUGAGUGAUGACGGCCUUCGGGUUGGAAAGCUCUGUCUUCAGGGACGAGAAGGACGGUACCUGAGGAGGAAGCCACGGCUAACUACGGGCCAGAAGCCGCGGUAAGACGUAGGUGGCGAGCGUUGGCCGGAUUUACUGGGCGUAAAGGGAGCGUAGGCGGGGUUUGCAGUGAGAUGUUAAAUACUCGGGCUCCACGUGAGUCCUGCAUUUCAAACUGUCAGUCUAGAGUGCAGGAGAGGCGACUGGCAUUCCUAGUGUAGCGGUGAAAUGCGUCGAGAUUAGGAAGAACUCCAGUUGCGAAGGCGAUUCUCUGGACUGUACCUGCCGCUGAGGCUCGAAAGCGUGGGUAGCCAACAGGAUUAGAUACCCCAGUAGUC